Ooceraea biroi (clonal raider ant) is the source of this 1185-nucleotide long non-coding RNA. RefSeq lists it as uncharacterized. The record is from RefSeq and is a predicted model, not a curated record. Lineage: Eukaryota; Metazoa; Arthropoda; Insecta; Hymenoptera; Formicidae.
CCCUUGUGUGCAAUGCGCAAUGUGCAACGGCAACGGUAUUAUUUCCCGCUAUUCAACGAAUGUUUGUGAAAUUGCGAACCUUGUAUUAUAAGUCUUGUGAAAGCAGUGCUAUUAAUUGCAGUAAUAUAUAAUAAUAGUAAAAGAAUCUUCCACAGUAAUUGAAAUAAUAUUCUUUCGUUAAGAUGGACGAUACUGCAAAACAAGAAUUGUUAUUUAGUAGAAUUAAUAUACAUGACAUAUACAUGAAAAAUUACCGUUAACAAAUUUAUUCUGGGAUAUCUGUCAAAACUUAUGAGACAUUCUAAAGCAGAAUUAUAAAUUGUGGACAAGUUAUUUUUAUUCAAAAUGGCUCCACCGUCAUCGAGACAGAUAUAAAGACACUGUUCGUCAUUCGAGUUUGUUACAUUACUGCAAUAAAAUAAUAAAAAAGUAUAUACACGACAAAAAUGGAAAUGUAGAAAAGGUAACAGCCAGGCCCGGAACAACACGAUCAGAUACAAGAUCACAAUAUAUGCCAAGUCUUCUUGCAACGCUCUGAAAUAUGACUAUCAGCGGUACAAUGCGGUCUUUAUACUCCUGUCAUAAUUUAAGAAACAAAAAUAUUAACAUUUAUAAGAAAUAAUAAAUAUGAAGCUAUAGAUAUAGCAUAAGCUGAUCAUAAUGUAUUAUAUUAUAAACUAUAACUUACGAACUUAAUCAUAAAUAGGUAUUGUCGAAAGAGAUCUGAUUUCAAAGAAUGUACAACUGCGUCAAAGUUUGGUUUAUGCAAGAGUAUAUUGAAAAGAAUAUCUAUAAUCUGUCUUCCCUCGCUGUUGUUCCAUUGAUUUUCAUAGAUAUUAUUGUAUUUCCACCUCGAGAACUGUUCGCGAGAUGCCGAGAAUAUUGGAUGCUUGGGAUUCUCAACUUUAAGGCGCUUUAUAACCUGUUGUGCGAUAUUAUCCAGAUCCAUAUCUAUAUGCGAGCAAGAGACAUUUUUCUCCGGAUGAAUCCAUUGUAUGAUAAAAGUUAUCACCUCUUCCAAUAGCUGGUGUUUGGGAGGGCGAUUUAUAAAUUCCUGCCAUACGGUUUCUAGAUGAUGAUGCCUUAAAUAUGGUAGAAGGAUUCUUCCGUAAUAAAUAUUUGUCAGGAUCCCAUACAGCACAGAUGCUUGCACCAACAUUGCAGCAACGUUGCAACGUUGCAAAU